CCAAGCUUCAGAAAGAGUGCAGUAGAUAUUUCCUGUACAUUCUUAUUGUGCCGUCUUUCAGCGUUGCAUGCACUUUGUCUGGCAUACCACAAUCUGUCAGUGUGACACAAGCCCAGCCUGGCGGCAUUAGAUAAUCCACCCCGGUUACCGAUGGCCCAUUCAUUGCCGACUCAUUUAUUGACUCACUAACCCCCUGCAGAGGUGUCUGACCAAGCAUUACACAUCCCACUCCAGUACACAUUAUACUGGGUCAUAGUAUUCAGCUGGUAUUUGUCCAUAUCUGGUGUUUUAUGAUCAGCAUUACCAUCAACCAUCUUCAUUCAGCAGGCAGACCGGCAGCUCAUUAAAAGAUGUAACGGUUAACUUGAUGGUAAUCUGCUCCUGAUGAAAAAGAAGACGAGAGCGCUGCGUUCAUCUUGAACUCACUGAACUUGCAAACCCAAUUUAACGCAUCCCGGGGAGAGGAGGCAUCGAGGUGAGAGAAUGAACCUCAGUUAAACCUGACACCCCGUUAGUUUGCAGCAGCGUGUGUAUGUGUGUGUGUUUGUGGAAGCAAUCAUUCCUGGCAACUGCAUCGCAAGGCAAACAGAUUUGUGAGGAUGGCUUGUAUAAUCUGCAGUGUGUGUCAGGGAUAAGCAAGACAAAACCACCAGUGCGCAGAGUGAAAACCACGGCAGGAGCGCUUGUGACAAAUCCUUGGUUAUUUCACAUUUAGCUCACAGGCAGCGAGCAGCCUCCUGAGAUUUCUCUCCCUUGCAGGUCAUUGGCAACCCUUCAUAACUUGCGACUACAGUGUAUUAAGAGUGCUGCGUUCUUCUAUGGCAGGAAGAGAGAUGCACAGUCGAGUCAAUGGCUUUAAAAUGCAUGAAGCGGAUUAAAUGGCCUGCUGGGAAAAUCUAACCUAAAAUUUCCGGUUACCUCCAUUUACUCAUUUGGCAGGGGGGAUGGCAAAUCCCUGCAUUGGAAUCUGAUUUUUCCACCUCCUCUAACAGGCUCGGAAAGCGAUCUGAAGUUGUUGUGUGUCGGAGUUGUAGAUGGUUUUCUGAUCAGUCAGCGUUACCCCAUUCAUUUCCCUGCUUCGCCCCCAUAAGUCAGCCCUAAGUUUCUACAGUUCUACAUGUGUUAUUUUUCUCUUUCCUCCCUCAUUUUUGCCAAGCUGUCUCCCCCUAUUCUUUCACUUGGAUGUCAUCCUCGUUCCCACGCUGCUCAGGACUACAGAGGAAGUGUCCGGUGCCAACUUGGCACUGUUUAUAUAGAGAAGUGAGGAUUGUACUAAAACCAGGG
This is a long non-coding RNA of Astatotilapia calliptera (eastern happy), 1284 nucleotides long. The record is from Ensembl. Lineage: Eukaryota; Metazoa; Chordata; Actinopteri; Cichliformes; Cichlidae.